GACAGAGGGUGCAAACGUUGUUCGGAAUUACUGGGCGUAAAGCGAGUGUAGGCGGUCUGACAAGUCGGGUGUGAAAGCCCUGGGCUCAACCCAGGAAGUGCACUCGAAACUGCCAGGCUAGAGUAUCGGAGAGGUUGGUGGAAUUCUCGGUGUAGAGGUGAAAUUCGUAGAUAUCGAGAGGAACACCGGUGGCGAAGGCGGCCAACUGGACGAAUACUGACGCUGAGACUCGAAAGCGUGGGGAGCGAACAGG
This 253-nucleotide ribosomal RNA is filed under the name uncultured bacterium. Its description in RNAcentral is "partial 16S ribosomal RNA". It matches the Rfam family "Bacterial small subunit ribosomal RNA", at positions 524 to 776 of the family's 1533-position model. The record is from RNAcentral.